CUAACGACUCUCGGCAACGGAUAUCUCGGCUCUCGCAUCGAUGAAGAACGUAGCGAAAUGCGAUACUUGGUGUGAAUUGCAGAAUCCCGUGAACCAUCGAGUCUUUGAACGCAAGUUGCGCCCGAAGCCACCAGGUCGAGGGCACGUCUGCCUGGGCGUCACGC
Molecule: ribosomal RNA, 164 nt
Filed under: Cyrtandra pendula
Lineage: Eukaryota; Viridiplantae; Streptophyta; Magnoliopsida; Lamiales; Gesneriaceae
Description: 5.8S ribosomal RNA
Rfam family: 5.8S ribosomal RNA
About the family: 5.8S ribosomal RNA (5.8S rRNA) is a component of the large subunit of the eukaryotic ribosome. It is transcribed by RNA polymerase I as part of the 45S precursor that also contains 18S and 28S rRNA.
Source: RNAcentral